Long non-coding RNA from Carassius gibelio (silver crucian carp), 3003 nucleotides. RefSeq lists it as uncharacterized. The record is from RefSeq and is a predicted model, not a curated record. The transcript is spliced from 2 exons. NCBI's taxonomy places the organism in Eukaryota, Metazoa, Chordata, Actinopteri, Cypriniformes, Cyprinidae.
AGAAAUACUAUGGAAGUGAAUGGGUACCGUCAACCGUUUGGUCUUUAAAGCAUCAUCUUUUUAGCAUUCAGCAGAAGACAGAAACUCGUACAAAAAAUAUAUAAUUUUUACAUUUUAUUUAAAGAAAUAAAUAUAUAAAAUAAGCUCACACAGUUUAACAUUUAUUCCCAAAGCAACCAACUAUGUGUCAUUGUUGUUAACUAAGACUGAAACAACUAAAAACAGUUUUCUGUAAUUGAAAUAAAGCUAAAGUAAAAUGAUAUAGAUAAGUCGUGUAAGCUACUACUAAAUAUGGGAGAAACUUAUUUUCUGUAAAGUUGCUUUGCAAUGAUUUGUAAAGUAAAAAGCACUAAUUUUAGUACUGUUUUCAUUUAAUUUAUAAAGUAGUAACUUUUUACAAAAAAAGUUGAAAUGCUAAAAUUAUUAAAACUGACAUAACAUAAAGGCUAAAAAAAAAAUUAAUAAAAACUAAUUCCUAAACCUCAAACUGCAACCAUGAGGCUAAAAGCUAUGCCAUUUGUCACUCUGAGAAAGUGCUGUAACAGUUUAUAAAGACCUUGAUGUUGUUUGGACACCAGAACCGUGUGUGUGUGUGUGUGUGUGUGUGUGUCCACCUAGAUGUUCCCGUGUUUGGCUCCUGGGAUGAUCUGAAUCCUCUCAAAGUCCCUCCCCAGGAUGAUGAUGUCACAGCCAGAGUAGUACGCCUGUCUGACACUGAUAAUCACAGAGAGUUCUACAUAUCAUCUGAAUGUAAUGUUUUGCUACAUUUUUAUUUAUUUAUUUUCUAAUUGAGGAAUCAGAGUUUUAAAUGUUUUCAUUUACGGUUAAUAAUCUCUGCUGCUGCUGUUACACUCACAGUCACGAACAGCUUGAAUCAUCUGGACUUUUUGUUUUAUAUUAUUUCUUAACAUAUCAGACAAUAUCUGCCUUCAUAUUGCAUGCAUCUUGUUUAUACUCACUUAUAAACUUUUGUUUGCCCUUUUUGUUGUUUUUCGUUGUGUUGUUUUUUUAUCCUCAUUUGUAAGUCGCUUUGGAUAAAAGCGUCUGCUGAAUGAAUAAAUGUAAAUGUAAAUUUAUCAAAUUAUGGCUUCGUUUCCUUACAUGAUUAUCGAAAUAUUCAACUCAAAUAAACACCUGUAUGAUGCAGUAUUAGAAUUUAAUUUGGGGUCCUGAAAUAACCUGAACACUGCACAGAGGUUAAGAUGACCAUUUCUACAAAAAUAAAAUAAAAAUUGAAACUCAUCCUAUUUUGUUUUAAUUUUCCCUUACUAAAUUAUACAGUUACUGAUGCUAUGGACUGUGGGAUUACUAACAGGCUAUUGACAAAAAUCUGUCUCUAAAACUCUUUUCUCUUUAUUAAAAGUUGAUCUGGACAAGUACAUGAUAGAAUCAAAUGUUUUGCAAAUCCGCUGGAAAGACCAGAUCUCAAAUGAUUCGCGAAAUGCGCUUCGGAGUCCCGAUCUGAAUCAAAUGUUUUGCCGACUCGCUCCGAAGCCCCGAUCAGAUGAUUCGCUAAAUGCGCUUCGGAGUCCCGAUCUGAAUCAAAUGUUUUGCCGACUCGCUCCGAAGCACCGAUCAAAUUAUUCGCGAAAUGCGCUUCGGAGUCCCGAUCUGAAUCAAAUGUUUUGCCGACUCGCUCCGAAGCCCCGAUCAAAUGAUUCGCUAAAUGCGCUUCGGAGUCCCGAUCUGAAUCAAAUGUUUUGCCGACUCGCUCCGAAGCCCCGAUCAAAUUAUUCGCGAAACGCGCUUCGGAGUCCGGAUCUGAAUCAAAUGUUUUGCGAACUCCGAAGGCCCGAUCAUAAGAUUCGCGAAACGAUCUUCGGAGUCGCGAUAUGAAUCAAAUGUUUUGCGAACUCGCUCCAAAUCCCUGAUCUCAAGUUAUUUUCCAGUGAAAGCGCUACAGCGUUCAUUCGCUUGCCGAAAAAUAGCGGAGACCAAAAGUAUUCAGAUGUGUAUAGUGUGCCUUUGUGUUCUAAUUUAAAAAAAAAAAAAAAAAACUUAUUUAUCAUUUCAUAGUUUUCCCACCUACGAAAAUAAAAAUAAGCGUUGAAUUGGGCUAUAUGGUGAGAGGAGGAGACGACAAUUACUCUGAGGAAAGGUACUUUAGUGUGUGCUAAGCCCUUCACGGAGGAUGAGGUCCGUGUCCAACCGGAGUACGGUCGAUCUCGCACCGUGGGCUGUGCCUUCCAGGUUUGCGUGGAAAAGUUGCGGAGACGUUAAAUCACGCGUCAUAACGGGCUGUUUGUGGUGCAGAGCAGUAAAUGUCCAGAUGGUCCAGUCCCAGGCUCCGUGGCCGUGCACAAACGUAGUGACGAACUUCCGCUGUCGCCAGAAGUCGACCAAGUAUAGGUCUCUGCAGGAAAGUAAUUUGUGGUUUUAAGAAUUUGUGGUCAGAUAUAAAUAAAUAUGUAAUUCCUAAUAAAGUUAAAGAAACUCACUUUAAAAUAAUAAACAGAUACUAUCCAUGUAAUGAUUUUAUUGGUAAGUUUAAAGAAGGGUUUUUGCCAUUAUGUAGUUUCUGUAAAGAAGAAAAUGAAACAAUUGUACACUUAUUUUUCAGUUGUAAUUAUACUAAAUUAUUUUGGUCCCAAGUUUCUUGGUUUCUUUUUGAGUUAUUUUAUAAGUUUGUCACAAUAACCGAUGUUAAUGGUCUUGUUUAUGGAUUGUGAUACUGGUUUAAUCCAGGGGAAGUCGUGGCCUAAUGGUUAGAGAGUCCGACUCCCAAUCGAAAGGUUCUGAGUUCGAGUCCCGGGCCGGCAGGAAUUGUGGGUGGGAGUGCAUGUACAAUUCUCUCUCCACCUUCAAUACCACGACUUAGGUGCCCUUGAGCAAGGCAUUGAACCCCCAACUGCUCCCCGGGCGCCGCAGCAUAAAUGGCUGCCCACUGCUCCGGGUGUAUGUGUUCACUGCUCUGUGUGUGUGCACUUCGGGUGGGUUAAAUGCAGAGCACAAAUUCUGAGUAUGGGUCACCAUACUUGGCUGAAUGUCACUUCACUUCACUUU